Podarcis lilfordi (Lilford's wall lizard) is the source of this 73-nucleotide non-coding RNA. The record is from the annotation of a GenBank genome assembly. Lineage: Eukaryota; Metazoa; Chordata; Lepidosauria; Squamata; Lacertidae.
AGCCAGUGUGGCACAGUGGUUCGCGUGUCAGACUAGGACCUGGGAGACCAGGGUUCAAAUCCCCACUUGGCCA